RNAcentral lists this ribosomal RNA (482 nucleotides) under uncultured bacterium. RNAcentral's name for it is "partial 16S ribosomal RNA". It matches the Rfam family "Bacterial small subunit ribosomal RNA", at positions 28 to 507 of the family's 1533-position model. The record is from RNAcentral.
GAUGAACGCUAGCGGCAGGCCUAAUACAUGCAAGUCGAACGAGCUUACGAGGCUUUCUUCUUUUGAACGUGGCGCACGGGUGCGUAACUCGUAUGCAACCUACCUUCAUCAGGGGGUUAGCCCGCAGAAAUUCGGAUUAAGACCGCCUAAAAACACAGGUUAGCAUUAUCCAAUGUUCAAAUAUUUCUAGGUUUAAGAUAGUCAUGCGUGUCAUUAGCUAGUUGGCGGUGUAACGGCCAACCAAGGCGACGAUGACUAGGGGAUCUGAGAGGAUGACCCCCCACACUGGUACCGCGACACGGACCAGAAUCCUACGCGACGGAGCAGUAAGGAAUAUUGGGCAAUGGAGGGAAAUCUGACACAGCCACGCGACGUGCAGGAAGACAGCCAUCGGGGUAGUAAGCUGCUUUGAUUCGGGAAUAAUCCUUUUAACGUGUAGCAAGCUGAAUGUACCGAAUGAAUAAGGAUCGGCUAACUCCGUG